RNAcentral lists this transfer RNA (69 nucleotides) under Ictidomys tridecemlineatus (thirteen-lined ground squirrel). RNAcentral describes it as "Spermophilus tridecemlineatus (thirteen-lined ground squirrel) tRNA". It matches the Rfam family "tRNA". From Rfam's summary of the family: Transfer RNA (tRNA) molecules are approximately 80 nucleotides in length. Lineage: Eukaryota; Metazoa; Chordata; Mammalia; Rodentia; Sciuridae. The record is from Rfam by way of RNAcentral.
GGGGUUGUGGCUCAGCAGUAGGGCGCUCGCCUCGCACAUGAGAGGCCCUGGGUUCGAUCCUCAGCACCA